CCCCCUCCUGCCAAGUCUUUGGGGGACCUAAAGAUAGCAUAGGAUAGGAUGCAUUUGCUGCCUUGUAUAUUGCUUGAUGAUGAAGCUCUAGAAAAAGGAAGCAAUUAUUGUAGAUAAGUCUCCCAUUCCAGCAUGGCUCUGCAGCAGGAAUAGGAGGUCUAGGCAGAGAAAGCCUGAAGCAGUACCCAACAGGCCUGCAGUCCCAGGAGAUGCCAGAGAGCCAAACAUUUCCCAUUCCCCUGAGAUGAGUAUUUGUGUGGCCUUUUGGGUUUAUCACUUUUAUAACACAUAAAAUCCAUAACUGCUAUUAACAUAAAUGUUAAUCAUGCUGCAUUCUAAUUUUCCUUUCUCUUAUUUAGAUAUCAAAUGGCUUAUAAGCUUCUGGAAUCAACUGUGUGAUCUUCAAAACUGGCAACUUGAGAACAGAGCAGGAAGUAAGUGGUUCAGCUUUGGAUACCCUGGCCACGAGUUGAGCAUCCUGAUGGCAAAAUAUUACCUGUCAUGGCCCUUGGGAACAUGUACAAGAUGUGAAUGGAUACUCUCUCCAUUGUGGGAAUACAGGCUGUAGUUUAAGCUGCUCUGAAAGUGGAACACUCCUCCUCUUCCUCCUACAGGGGGCUCCAUGGUGCCAUCUAUGAAGAAUAAGCCCUCACCACACACCAAACUUGCUAGCACCUUGAUCUUGGAUUCCCAGCCUCCAGAACGGUGAGAAGUAAAUUUCUGUUGUUUAUAAAUUACCCAGUCUUAUGUAUUUUGUUAUAGCAGCACUAAUGGGCUGAGACUAUACUAAAAAGAAAAAUAACUGAAUUGCAAAAUGAACAAAGGACUUGAAUAGAAAUUAUUUCCAAAGAAGAUAAAGAAAUAGGCAAUCAGCAUAUGAAGAGAUGCUCAACAUCUUUAGCCAAAAAAGAAAUGUAUCUGAGAAAGUGUUUUAUUAGGUAUGUAGUGGCAUCUCACCACAUUGUGGUUUUAAUUUUCAUUUCCCUAAUGACUAAAUGUGUCGAGUCUCUUUUCAUUUGCUUGUUUGCCAUAUGUAUAUUUUUGGUGAAAGAUCUAUAUAAAAUUUUUAUCUAAUUUUUAAUUGAGUUGUCUUCUUCUUACUGAAUUGUAAAAGUUCUUCAUAAAUUCUCCUACAGUACCUUAUGAGGAUGUGAUUUGCCAGUGUUUUAUCCCAGUCUGUGGAUUAUCUUUUCUGUGUUCUUAAUGAUGUCUUUUGAAGCACAAAAAUUUUUAAUUUUGAUGAAGUCCAGAUUACCAGUUUUUUCUUUUAUAGAUCAUGUUUUUGGUGUUAACUGUUUGCCUAACCCAAGAUCAUAAAGAUAGUCCUACCAUUCUGUUCUUACAUUUAGGUAUAUAAUCUAAUUUGAUGUAAUAUUUUUAUAUGGUAUGAAGUUAGAGCCAAAAUUCCUUCUUAUAUAUGUGGAUAUUCAGUUGUCCUGCACCAGUUGUUAAAAAGACAAUUCUUUUACCCCAUUUAAUUACCUUGGCACCUUUGUUGAAAAUCAGUUGACCAUACAUAAGAAUCUGUUUUUGUAUUCUCAAUUUUCUUGCAUUGUUCUAUAUGUCUAUUCUUAUGCCAGUUCCCUGGUGUUACCAUUUAUGAUAUACCUUAUUAUGACAGAGGCAACAUUUUAUUUUUAUUUAUUUGCUUUUUAUUUUACUUUAAGUUCUGGGAUACAUGUGCUGAAUGUGCAGGUUUUUUACAUAGGUAUACAUGUGCCAUGGUGGUUUGCUGCACCUGUUUAUUUUUUUAAGGCAGCUUUUUUAUACUAAUGGUAAACCAAAUCUAUUAUGAUCGUGAGGUAAUAAUAUUUUGCCCAAUACCUUGAGCUUCUGGAGCAACAAUUACUUUUGUAUUACUCAUAUUCAUUAAAAGUAGGUUUCAGCAAGGUGGAAAUUAGAAGUGAAGUCUAAAUGCUUGGAGCCCAAACUAUGUUUUACAGAAUGAUAUGUGAUUUGCCAAAAACCUAUUUAUAAUAAAUAUGCCAAAAACAUAUUUAUAAUAAAUUUCUCCAAUUUAACACCGAAAGCUGUAGGGCAGAGAGCCAGCUUAUGUUUAUCUAAUAUAAGAAGUAUUAUCAAAAUUUCUACUUUGAACAUUUUCUUCACUAUUACUGUAUGUAUUAUUAAAUCUAAGACACCGUUAAGUAUAAAGUGCACCAAUUAUUUAUAUAUCACUAAGAAAUAAAAAGUUCUUUCAGUUAGAAAAUAUAGUAAUACCAAUUGAAAAAGAUAACAUUCUAAUUUCAUAGACAUAAAAUUCUUAGUAAAUGUGCAUCUUAAAAUUGAUGAAAUAUAAUAUAUCAGACACCAAAUCUUACUUUUGAGUUGUCACCUUUCUUCUAAAAGGGAUUUUCCUAUUACAGGAUCUCUUUCAGGCUCUAUUUUUGUUUCUCCUUUGCUUUGUAUACAUUUUCAAAGUAAAGUAAAAUUCUGUAAUAACUCCAAUGGUUUUGAAUGUGUUUCAAAUUAUUUUGAAGUGGGAGAUUGAAUUAAGCCAGCUUCAGACACAUGGCAUAUCUGUUGUCUCUGUGAAUCAUUAAUAUUUCCUCAGCCAGCAGGAAUCCCAUCUUUCAAACCCAUGUGAACCCUUACUAUAUUGCCCACUAGUUUGAAUUAUUUUGAAACUAUUUACCAAAUAUUGAAACUUCUGGGAUAAAUCAAUAAUUUAUAGUAACCCUGGAAUGGAAUAAUUUGAAAUCUGGACAAUCCCUGAAAAUUUGGGAUGUAGACUCCCUAUACCAUGGGUGUUAGUCACUGGUGAGACUGCCGAGAAGCCACAAACUCAGCCCUCUGUGGAAUGAACAUUCCAAAGUAGAAGGAUUGCCAGAUGUCAACAGAUGCUAUAAUUUGCUCCCGGAUCUAAUUCCUCCCAUAGAGCUGGACCUGCAUGUAGGUAGUCUGAGCAGCUGUUUCUUUCUGCAGGGUCAUCUAAGGGGCACUGGAACCAUCCUCACUACCCUCAAAUUUCUCACUUGCUGGCCUGCCCCAGGGCCUUGGUCUCACCUCUUUGAGGUAAGACACUAUCAGAGAGUCCCUGUCUGUGGAGAGGUGACACCUAGUAAUACAUCAUCAUUUAUUACUGGCCUGGAGGAAAAUAGCAUUUUUAGGGAAGAACAUAGGGCUUAGGGCAUCAACUUCUGUAGGUUUUCUGGUUAUAAGAAAGCUGAGACAACCAGUUGGUCCACCUUAAAAAGAAGAGGGGCUAUUGUAGAGCAGUUAUACUUAGGAAACGUGGACUGAAUCAGGAGUUUCAAAGUGGUUCAGAGGCUGUUGUUGCUCUAGAGAAGCCUCAGGCCCACACUCUCUGGCCUGCAGGGUCUCUCUCUCAUGUUGAAUCUGCUGCUGCCUGUAUAUCUGCUCUGCUUCACUCUCACCAUCUACUAACUAAUCUUUAAUAUACCUUCAAAAACCUGCCAGAGUGCUUAUCCUAGCUAAUGGUAUCACCCAGCUGGGGAAAGCCCUUCUCACCUGGCCACUAAUGGGCCACACAACAAGCAAUAACCAGCCCAUGGACGGGCCACCCUUGGGCCAGAUGUUGCCUUAGACUAUCUGAGGCAAGCCCAUGGCCACCUCCAGCCCAGAGCUGAUUCACGUAGUAGGGGGUUGCCAGUGGGCCAAUCCCAGCUGGAAAGAGGCAUUGAGCAGGUUGGGAACUGUCCAUGAUCAUAACAGAGAAAUUGGCCACAUGGGCAGGGGUGUGGUAGGAGGGUGCGUGGGGGUAAUAAAAGAUUCUGACACGCAGGUCGAGAGUGAGCAGUGGAGAAGGGAAAUGACGGGCAUCACAGAUGAACUUUGUCUUUGAGACCCUGUAUAUGAAAAUGCUUUGCACACAGUGAAAGUGCCCUGAGGACUGUGAUUGAAGAUUAUCCUGUUUCAACUAGCAUGCAGUUUUGCCUCUGAACAAGAGGGGAGUCAACACCAGGAUUCUUCUGAGAGCCGGACCCUGCUAUGGGUGGCUGGCGUUUGCUCACUUCAGGGCCA
Callithrix jacchus (white-tufted-ear marmoset) is the source of this 3984-nucleotide long non-coding RNA. The record is from Ensembl. Lineage: Eukaryota; Metazoa; Chordata; Mammalia; Primates; Cebidae.